CCUUCCUCAGUGUCACCAAGGAGAGAAUAGGUGACAUGUGACUGUCAGUCCUUGCACUAAGCUGAUGUCAGGAUGGAGCAGACCCUCCAUACUUCAGAGGAGGCUGGUGAUGGAUGUGCUGCCCCUACUGGACUGGCUCCACAGUCUGUCUUCCCACCACUGAGUGGCAGAGAUGAAGGUGACUGAGUUGGCUGGCUGCACAGGUACAGGAACAUGAGGUCAAGUUGACGGUUAAAUUGGAGCCAUCUCUGGAAGGAGAGAGCAUAUGAAGACACAGCAUUAUUUUUACCUUAAUUUG
Eptesicus fuscus (big brown bat) is the source of this 298-nucleotide long non-coding RNA. RefSeq lists it as uncharacterized. Lineage: Eukaryota; Metazoa; Chordata; Mammalia; Chiroptera; Vespertilionidae. The transcript is spliced from 5 exons. The record is from RefSeq and is a predicted model, not a curated record.